GACGAACGCUGGCGGCGUGCUUAACACAUGCAAGUCGAGCGGUAAGGCCCUUUCGGGGGUACGACGAGCGGCGAACGGGUGAGUAACACGUGGGUGACCUGCCCUCAGCUCUGGGAUAAGCCUGGGAAACCGGGUCUAAUACCGGAUAUGACUCCAUGACGCAUGUUGUGGGGUGGAAAGCCUUGUGCGGCUGAGGAUGGGCCCGCGGCCUAUCAGCUUGUUGAUGGGGUGANGGCCUACCAAGGCGACGACGGGUAGCCGGCCUGAGAGGGCGACCGGCCACACUGGGACUGAGACACGGCCCAGACUCCUACGGGAGGCAGCAGUGGGGAAUCUUGCGCAAUGGGCGAAAGCCUGACGCAGCGACGCCGCGUGAGGGAUGACGGCCU
RNAcentral lists this ribosomal RNA (389 nucleotides) under uncultured bacterium. RNAcentral describes it as "bacterial SSU rRNA". It matches the Rfam family "Bacterial small subunit ribosomal RNA", at positions 28 to 417 of the family's 1533-position model. The record is from RNAcentral.